UUUUCCUACGGGACGCAGCAGUGGGGAAUAUUGCACAAUGGGGGGAACCCUGAUGCAGCGACGCCGCGUGAGUGAAGAAGUCAUUCGUGAUGUAAAGCUCUAUCAGCAGGGAAGAAAAUGACGGUACCUGACUAAGAAGCCCCGGCUAACUACGUGCCAGCAGCCGCGGUAAUACGUAGGGGGCAAGCGUUAUCCGGAUUUACUGGGUGUAAAGGGAGCGUAGACGGCAGCGCAAGUCCGAAGUGAAAGCCCGGGGCCCAACCCCGGGACUGCUUUGGAAACUGUGAAGAUGGAGGGCGGGAGGG
RNAcentral lists this ribosomal RNA (305 nucleotides) under uncultured bacterium. RNAcentral's name for it is "bacterial SSU rRNA". It matches the Rfam family "Bacterial small subunit ribosomal RNA", at positions 334 to 656 of the family's 1533-position model. The record is from RNAcentral.